Long non-coding RNA from Manihot esculenta (cassava), 1765 nucleotides. RefSeq lists it as uncharacterized. NCBI's taxonomy places the organism in Eukaryota, Viridiplantae, Streptophyta, Magnoliopsida, Malpighiales, Euphorbiaceae. The record is from RefSeq and is a predicted model, not a curated record. The transcript is spliced from 2 exons.
UUAUGUCAUUUGAGAAACAGCAACAAACAUUUUUGUCCUCUUUCCUAUAUUCACCAGGCUUCUUUUGCAGAGGAAGCCAUUGCGUUAAUGUACUCAAUCCACCAGGCCAGGCCAGGCCACACUCCCUCCCUCGAUAUACCACAAUCUCUUUCUCUCUCCUCACCUCAUGUGUACUCUAUCGUUUCUCUCGCCAUUGUCAGUUCUGCACUCUCCUGAGUUCUAUGAUUCCAUUUCCAACCUCAUUCUUUUAUAUCUUAUUAUAUUAUAUAUAUAUACCAUAGUGUCGUAAUCUCUGCAACUUCCUGUGAAAAAUUCUUUUCUUUACCUAAACCCAAUAAAGCUUGCUAUUAGCAUUUCCCUCAAUCCCAUAUACAGUCACAAACAGCCUUUUACUGUAGAGAAUUGUCAUUUUUUUAAUAGAGAAAUGGGUUUUUUUAAUACAUAUUCUGUUUUUAGUUGCCUAUGGAUAUGGUCCAAUCAUUAAUUAAGAAAUGUUAAUUAUAGGGUUAUUCACAUGAAGCAUAUUUGAUUACAAUGUCAAAGUGACUGUUUGAGUCUAUGCUAUUGGGAGUUGCAGUCAAGAACAUGGAUAAGUGGUGUAUCUGAUUGCUCUUUCCAGGAAAAGAUAAAAAUGGGUCCUUUCCUUUUCAUUGAGAGAGAACACGAGCUGGGGCAUGAAAAAGCUACCACCAAGGGUUUCGUGAUAAUUCUCUCCACACACACACAAAGAAGGGGGAGAGAGAGAGAGAUGGCACGCAAUACUUUGGAUUUUUCUUCAAGCUUUCAACCACAUCGCCCUACAGCAAUCAUCAUGCCCUCCUCCUCUUCCUUGCGCUUCUCAGGGACUAUUCACCACCAUCAUCAUUACCCCCUCACCUCUACUACGUCUCCCUGCUGCUUUUUUCGCAACCCAACAGCUCCUUCACAUCCCAAAUCCAAAACAAGACAACUCACAGAGAAGAAGAAGAAGAAGAAGAAGAAGAAGAAGAAGAAAUGGAGUAGAGGGUUUACUCAUGAUGACAAAAAGCUGGCAUCUUUCACUUGAAGUUAAAAAGGGUCUUUUUUACAUCGAAGGAUCCUACAAACAAUCGGGGAAUCAAGCGUCUCGGUCCGAUCAUUUGCUAGAUCAAGCAAAUCCACAAGAAGAAUAAUUAGAAAAGCUGCUAUUUUGCUAGCUAGCUAUAAGGGUUUUUCUUCUCAUUUUGAUCACUUACUAAUUAUAUAUUAAUCACUAGUUUUUCUUUAAUCUGUUUCAAGAUCUUCCUUGCUGCUUAGUUUCUUUAAAAGAGAAGAUUUUGUUAUGUGGGUAUGUGUGUUUUCUAUUUGAAUAGAUCAUUUUCAUAACAUCUCUCUCUCUCUCUCUCUCUUGAAUGCUCAUGAACAUGUAAUAAUUGGCGUCUUGUGGAAUUAAUCUUUCUGUUUCUUGGUGAGACUAUAAGCAAUCAUAUACUGUUCAGAAGUUUCCUUUCAGGAUGAGAAAGGAACUAAGCUUUAAUACAUUUGAAGGCCAUGGCAGGCUUGCAAAUAACAGCAUUUGUCAUGUGGAAAAUGCUACAAGUACUAAAAUUCUUUCCCUUUGAUCUGUCAGACAUGGAAAAGGAAAGCAAAAAGAAAAUAAAAAAAGAAAUUGGAAAGGAUUCGCGUGCUUGUUGGUAUCCUUUUGUCAAACACUGCUACUUAUAUUUAGAAUUUUAUCACAUUGUACCCCUGGAUUGUACUUACUGAACCCUUGCUUUAAUAACAUUUCAAUAUGCUAUCGGUCGAA